GACGAACGCUGGCGGCGUGCUUAACACAUGCAAGUCGAGCGGUAAGGCCCUUUCGGGGGUACACGAGCGGCGAACGGGUGAGUAACACGUGGGUGACCUGCCCUCAGCUCUGGGAUAAGCCUGGGAAACCGGGUCUAAUACUGGAUAUGACUCCAUGACGCAUGUUGUGGGGUGGAAAGCCUUGUGCGGCUGAGGAUGGGCCCGCGGCCUAUCAGCUUGUUGGUGGGGUGANGGCCUACCAAGGCGACGACGGGUAGCCGGCCUGAGAGGGCGACCGGCACACUGGGACUGAGACACGGCCCAGACUCCUACGGGAGGCAGCAGUGGGGAAUCUUGGACAAUGGGCGCAAGCCUGAUCCAGCCAUGCCGCGU
RNAcentral lists this ribosomal RNA (372 nucleotides) under uncultured bacterium. Its description in RNAcentral is "bacterial SSU rRNA". It matches the Rfam family "Bacterial small subunit ribosomal RNA", at positions 28 to 402 of the family's 1533-position model. The record is from RNAcentral.